RNAcentral lists this ribosomal RNA (468 nucleotides) under uncultured bacterium. Its description in RNAcentral is "partial 16S ribosomal RNA". It matches the Rfam family "Bacterial small subunit ribosomal RNA", at positions 28 to 507 of the family's 1533-position model. The record is from RNAcentral.
GACGAACGCUGGCGGCGUGCUUAACACAUGCAAGUCGAACGGAAACGCCCUGCUUUUGUGGGGUUCUCGAUUGGCGAACGGGGGAGUAACACGUGAGUAACCUGCCCUUGACUUUGGGAUAACUUCAGGAAACUGGGGCUAAUACCGGAUAGGAGCUCCUCCUGCAUGGUGGGGGUUGGAAAGUUUCGGCGGUUGGGGAUGGACUCGCGGCUUAUCAGCUUGCUGGUGGGGGAGUGGCUUACCAACGGUGUGACGGGUAGCCGGCCUGAGAGGGGGACCGGCCACCUGGGGCCUGAGAGACGGCCCAGACUCCUACGGGAGGCAGCGGUCGGGAGUAUUGCACAGUGGGCGGGAGCCUGAUGCAGCAACGCCGCGGGCGGGAUGACGGCCUUCGGGGUGUAAACCGCUUUCGCCUGUGACGAAGCGUGAGUGACGGUAAUGGGUAAAGAAGCACCGGCUAACUACGUG